UCCUGGCGUCAGGAUGAACGCUGCGGCAUGCCUAAUACAUGCAAGUCGAACGAGAGACCUUCGGGUCUCUAGUGGCGAACGGGUGAGUAACACGUAGGGAACCUGCCCGCGCACCGGGAAUACGCUCUGGAAACGGAGAACAAAUCCCGAUGUACAGGAAGGAGGCAUCUUCUUUCUGUGAAACAUCCUUUAGGGGAUGGGGCGCGGAUGGACCUGCGGUGCAUUAGUUGGUUGGCGGGGUAAAGGCCCACCAAGACGAUGAUGCAUAGCCGGCCUGAGAGGGCGGACGGCCACAUUGGGACUGAGACACGGCCCAGACUCCUGCGGGAGGCAGCAGUAGGGAAUUUUCGUCAAUGGGCGCAAGCCUGAACGAGCGAUGCCGCGUGAGUGAAGAAGGCCUUCGGGUCGUAAAGCUCUGUUGCGGGGGAAAAAGGCAGCAUCAGGAAAUGGGUGCUGACUGAUGGUGCCCCGCCAGAAAGUCACGGCUAACUACGUG
This 496-nucleotide ribosomal RNA is filed under the name uncultured Allobaculum sp. RNAcentral's name for it is "bacterial SSU rRNA". It matches the Rfam family "Bacterial small subunit ribosomal RNA", at positions 17 to 507 of the family's 1533-position model. Lineage: Bacteria; Bacillati; Bacillota; Erysipelotrichia; Erysipelotrichales; Erysipelotrichaceae. The record is from RNAcentral.